UGGGAUAGCUCAGUUGGUAGAGCAUCUCCAUGGUAAGGAGAAGGUCGUGGGUUCGACUCCCAUUCCC
This 67-nucleotide transfer RNA is filed under the name bovine gut metagenome. It matches the Rfam family "tRNA". From Rfam's summary of the family: Transfer RNA (tRNA) molecules are approximately 80 nucleotides in length. Their secondary structure includes four short double-helical elements and three loops (D, anti-codon, and T loops). The record is from RNAcentral.